AUCUCCGCAGCCCGCGCGGCCCUGGCCGCUGCAACAGGCCCUGUUCCAAGUGAAAGUCACCCAAAGGGACCUGUCUCUGGGAUUCAAGGACAGACUGCAAAACAACCUGUUAUUCUCCUAGCCAAAGGCAGAUAAAAAGAACUGGAUCACUGGCUCAGGAACAAUGCCAUAAAACUCGAAAGUCACAGACCAAGGAACCAGCAGGUGCCAUGGGUGUCUGAUGCCCCUGUCUUCUGCCAGUGCCUGACCGAAAGGAAAGGUAAGUGUUCCAGUCACA
Molecule: long non-coding RNA, 277 nt
Organism: Nannospalax galili (Upper Galilee mountains blind mole rat)
Lineage: Eukaryota; Metazoa; Chordata; Mammalia; Rodentia; Spalacidae
Exons: 3
Source: RefSeq, a predicted model, not a curated record